AACGCGAAGAACCUUACCUGGUCUUGACAUAGUAAGAACUUUCCAGAGAUGGAUUGGUGCCUUCGGGAACUUACAUACAGGUGCUGCAUGGCUGUCGUCAGCUCGUGUCGUGAGAUGUUGGGUUAAGUCCCGCAACGAGCGCAACCCUUUUCCUUAUUUGCCAGCACUUCGGGUGGGAACUUUAAGGAUACUGCCAGUGACAAACUGGAGGAAGGCGGGGACGACGUCAAGUCAUCAUGGCCCUUACGACCAGGGCUACACACGUGCUACAAUGGUCGGUACAAAGGGUUGCUACCUAGCGAUAGGAUGCUAAUCUCAAAAAGCCGAUCGUAGUCCGGAUUGGAGUCUGCAACUCGACUCCAUGAAGUCGGAAUCGCUAGUAAUCGUGGAUCAGAAUGCCACGGUGAAUACGUUCCCGGGUCUUGUACACACCG
This 434-nucleotide ribosomal RNA is filed under the name uncultured bacterium. RNAcentral's name for it is "bacterial SSU rRNA". It matches the Rfam family "Bacterial small subunit ribosomal RNA", at positions 958 to 1392 of the family's 1533-position model. The record is from RNAcentral.